RNAcentral lists this long non-coding RNA (7063 nucleotides) under Zostera marina. RNAcentral describes it as "long non-coding RNA (ZMAR_LNC002574)". The record is from RNAcentral. Lineage: Eukaryota; Viridiplantae; Streptophyta; Magnoliopsida; Alismatales; Zosteraceae.
AGCUAUUUCCUUUCAUUUCAUACCUAAUAAAAUUAUUUACACAAGGUUUUUAUAUCUAUUACAAUUCUUAACCCUAGCAGUUUAAUAAAGAUAGUCUUUAAACGUAAUAAGUUCAAUUAGGCCAUCAAUUGCCAACCCAGUUAACUUUAUAGUCUAUAAGGUCCAGUGGUUUGGUUCUUGCUCUUUUACUCCUCUCUUGGAUAAUUGUACUUGCAGCUACUGGUUCAAUACGUUCCUGUCCUUCCAGUUCAGCCAGCUCUUGCUCGAUGAGGUCCUCCAUACCACGCGAGUACGUAUCAACUCCAUCCUCCUCCGGAACGGCCUUGACCUCAAGGUCGAAGUUUGGAAAUGCUCUCUUCAUAGUGCUCACCGACUCCCUUGAUGCUUCUUCCUAUGGUAAACCAUGCUAUUUGAUUUGGACUUCCUCCUUCUGUCCUCCCGAUGUAAACACGGAUCUCUUGGCCAUUACUCAGCUUGGUGUUGUUACUGGUUGGUUACCUACCAAUACAUUAGGUAUUUUAAAAUAUUUAAUAGGAGGAAUUUCACCUUUAUAUGCUUUUAGGCAGGACACAUGAAAGGUGUCAUAAAUUUUAUUCUCCCAAGGCAAUUUCAACGUAUAUGUCAUAUUAGAGAUACACCCUUACCUUAAAAUAAAUCACACAUAUAACAUUAUAAUAAAAUUAUGAUUAACACCCUCUUAUUUUAUCACAACUCUUCACAUUCUUAUUUCAUCUUUCAUAAUCAAAUAUUAAUCAAAUAUUCAAUCUUAUAUUAAUUCCAUAUUACACAUUCCUAUAUACAUUAAUUACCAUAAUUAAAUACACCCAACCAACAUAGCCGUUGGGUGUUCUUCUAUAUAAACACAUCUAAUCUUAGUUUAAGAUUACACUUGAUCACACACACACACAUACACUCUGUAAUACAAUUACAGAUUCUCUGUCUGAUCAUUCUGCAUCUACAACUGCUGAUCUUCAAACGCUUCCGCAAUACAACAAACUUGAAUCACAGAUUCAAGUUCAAUCACUUUCAAUUCACUUCAACAAGAUGUGGAUCAUCGCUUCAUCAAACCCUGAUCAACCGAUCAUCCUACAGUAUCAUUUUACAGUUCAUUAUAUCAUACAUACAUCCAUAAUUAUAUAUCUAUCACAUUCAUAAACCACAUUCCACAUCUCAUAUUUAUAUUUACAUAUAUAUAUAUAUCAAAUAUAUCUUCUAUCAUGGUAUCAGAGCAGGUUCAAUCCUGAUCAAAAUAUUUUUUUUUCUUUAUUCUAAAAUCCUUUCUUUUUUCUUUACAAAAAGAAAAGAAACAGCACUACAAACUGUUUCAAAAAAAAAACACAAAACUCUAUUUUUUGAAAACACAGCAACAUUCAAUCAUCAAAAACAACCCUGUUUCUCCAGAUAUUGUCAAAGAAUUCUUGUGGAGGACGAGGAGGUAGUGGAAUCUCUACUGCUGAUGGGGGUGAAACCCGACCAGUACUCCAAGACGCGCAAGCAAGCGUCAAGCGGGGAACUCCGCGGGAAACCGGACCGGAACUCAAGUGUGCAGAGCUCUGCUUCGCUAGGAAUCCUUUCGCUCCAAAUGACCUGCCUUUAAUGAGUGGGGGGUGCCCUCUAUUUAUAGGGGUUCUUAUGGGGGCAAUAUGGUCCUUUGGGCAGUAACCGCCUAACUGCCCAACUGAUCAUAUUGGGUCCAGGGGUCGACUUUCCAGAGAUCGACUUUCUGGGGGUCGACUUUUCCUGGUGAUCGACUUUACUCAAAAGUCGAUCCCAGGGAAGUCGAUCCUCGGGAAAGUCGAUCUUCCUAGGAUUCGACCUGGGACCUCCCCAACCCUAGAAUAGAUACCUCAACUCAUCUUAGGCUAUCCGGACUUCUAGUUGCUGGUAGGUUGUGACCGUGUUCGGGAUACUGUAUCACCAGUACUCCCCCCUCCUCUGCGUAUUAGAUACUUUGGGAUACGUCUUUUAGUACUAUGGUCUGCGUGUCGGACCCUGUACUAUCAGUAUUCCCCCCCUCUUUGCGUGCUGGGAUGUGGAUUUCUGGUGAUGUCCCUGGAUGUAAGAUCCUCUCUCACCAGUACUCCCCCCCCCUCCACGCCUGCGAGGUUGUAUCUAUGCUUCCACGGAGGUUGUCACGCGCUUUUGCCAACUAUUGUCCGGUUUGUCCUAGCCAAAGCCUACUCCUUGCACACUUGUCCGGCCUGAUUCUCCCGCGGAACCCUGCUUGCCCACCUUGACGCCUUGCCUGAGCUGUCCUUGAGCACUGUUUGAGUUCUCUUCCCUGUGGCGGGUUUUGAGAGUACCCGACCCCCUCCUUUUCUCCGCCUUUCUGCGAUAGGGGAUGAGUGUGCUUCCUCGUCUACCCACGUUCAUCCGUGGGUGAGGACUAUUACUUGAAUACUUGCCCCCUCCUUUUGCUCGCCUUUCUGCGACUGAGGCUAAGUGUUACUCCUCGUCUACCUACGUUCAUUCGUAGGUGAGGAUUGUUACUUGAAUAUUUCCCUCGUCUAACCUACGUUCUUCCGUAGGUGAGGUUUACUCUUGGGCACUUGCCCCUCUGUCUAUAUUUUUNNNNNNNNNNNNNNNNNNNNNNNNNNNNNNNNNNNNNNNNNNNNNNNNNNNNNNNNNNNNNNNNNNNNNNNNNNNNNNNNNNNNNNNNNNNNNNNNNNNNUAACCUACGUUCUUCCGUAGGUGGGGUUCACUUUUGCCGAUGUGUUCCCCGUCUAAUCCUACGUUCUUCCGUAGGUGGGGUUCACUUUUGAGUACAUCCCUCGUCUAACACUACGUUUCCGUAGGUGAGGUUCACUCUUUAGCUGAUGUGUUCCCCGUCUAACCUGCGUUCUUCCGCAGGUGGGGUUCACUUUUGCCGAUGUGUUCCCCGUCUAACCUACGUUCUUCCGUAGGUGGGGUUCAUUUUUAAGUACGUCCCUCGUCUAACACUACGUUUUCGUAGGUGAGGUUCACUUUUUAACUGAUGUGUUCCCCGUCUAACACUACGUUUCCGUAGGUGAGGUUCACUUUUUAACUGAUGUGUUCCCCGUCUAACCUACGUUCUUCCGUAGGUGGGGUUCAUUUUUAAGUACGUCCCUCGUCUAACACUACGUUUUCGUAGGUGAGGUUCACUUUUUUCCUUGGAUGGGAUAUGCAUCCUGACUCUGUUACCAUUAAGACUUUCCCUACCCACGUUCUUCCGUAGGUAGAGUUAAUUUGGCGUCCUACUUUGUUACUGCGUCCAGUAAUAGUAGGAGUUCAAAUAUCUUUAUAUGGCUCAGUUCAUUUUGCUGCCGUAUCCCCGUCCGAGUUGUGGACUUCCACGAUUUCUCCGGAGCAUUUUGUGUUACACCCUCCUUUCUUGGUGCGUCUCUGCAACUUCAACUUGUCUGGGUUCUUUUUUCUGUGCCCCUUUUCUGUGGGAAGAAAAAGUCGAUCCCCUGUUGAUUUUGCUCGACUUUGGCUAAAUGUCGAUCCCUUAUCGAGUUUGGUCGACUUUUGCGAAAUGUCGAUUCCUUGUUGACUUUGGUCGACUUUUGUCAAAAAGUCGAUUCCUGGUGCUUUUGGUCAAAAGUCGAUCCCUUGUGUAAAAAAGUCGAUUUUGCCAUUUUUGUCCUUUUGUGCUGUCCUAGAGUCUAUAAAUAGGACCCCUAGGUUCUUAUUUUCCUUCAUCCAUCCAUGGCUCUUCUUGUGAGUCUCUUUGCUGAUUUUAUUCAGGGAGAGAUUGAGGAGCUGGAUCGGAUUUUGAAUAUUUUGGAUCCUCGGUCGUCAACCUUGGAUCUUCCUUCUCUGCGCCAGCUUAUUGUUGAGCGGCAGAGUGUUGCUGUUGCUACUAGGGAAUCCAUAUUUGAAGAAUGGUCUGGCGGCGAUCUUCCGCCCGCCUCUUCUUCUGUUGUCCCUCCUCGUGGCCGACGUCGGAGGCGUCCCCGUCGCGGUGCUUCCCCGCUGGACCAGGUCCCUCGCCGCUUACGUCGCCGUAUCAAUUUUAAUUAGGAACCUGUAAUAUUUUUCAUUCAUCAUUUUUGUGACUUUGAAUAAAUAUAUUUUUACCUUUUCCUUUACUCGACUUACACCUUUACUUUGAAGUACGUUAGUGUAACCGAUUUUUUCUUUUGGUCAAUACCAUAUUUUUUGUCCUUUUCUGAAGAUGUCGGAUUUUUGACAACGAGUCGAUCUCAUUUCUCCCUGGAAAUGUCGAUGUUGCCCAAAAAAGUCGAUCUCAUCUUUUUCUGAGGAUGUUGAUGACUGCCGAUCCUUUUCUGAAAAUGUCGGAUUUUUUGGUAACAAGUCGAUCUCAUUUCUCCCUGAAAAUGUCGAUGUUGCCCAAAAAAGUCGAUCUCAUCUUUCUCUGAGGAUGUCGAUGACUGCUGGUCCUUUUCUGAAGAUGUCGGAUUUUUUGGUAACAAGUUGAUCUCAUUUCUCCCUGGAAAUGUCGAUUGUGCCCAAAAAAGUCGAUCUCAUCUUUUUCUGAGGAUGUCGAUGACUGCUAAUCCUUUUCUGAAGAUGUCGGAUUUUUUGGUAACAAGUCGAUCUCAUUUCUCCCUGGAAAUGUCGAUGUUGCCCAAAAAAGUCGAUCUCAUCUUUUUCUGAGGAUGUCGAUCAGAGCAGUGCGGAAUGUCGAUCCUGUCCUUCUUUUUUGAAGGCAUCGAAUUCCUUGUCAAAUGUCGACGUCUAUCUCCUUUUUUGGGAAUGUCGAACUCAAUUUUCUGUGGAAUGUCGAUCCUGUCCUUCUCUCUUGAAGGUAUCGAAUUCCUUGCCAAAUGUCGACGUCUAUCCCUUUUUUUGGGAAUGUCGAACUCAAUUCUCUGUGGAAUGUCGAUGGUUUUUCUGAAAUGUCGAUGAGUCUUCCUGGAAUGUCGAUGCCAUCUAGUUGGGUUUUGGGGUUUUUCACGGACUGGGCCGUCGUGGGCCUGCCGGGCCCGUGGGCUUCCCGGCCCAACGGGUCGACCCGGAUGAACAGUGCUCGCGACGGUUCGUCUUCGACUUUCCCCUAUAAAUAGCGGAGGGGGGUUCACUUCCUCCCCACUUGUUUCCUUCGCUCUGAGGCAUCGACUUUCUUCGCAUCGACUUCCAACUUCUCCGCUUCGACUUCCAGCGUCUCCGCUUCGACUUCCAGCGUGCGUGAGGCUUCGACUUGAGCCUUGGAGGUGCAGCUUUCUGGGGUCCGACUUUUGUUGUCGGGCUCUUCUGAGGUUGCACCGGGUUUGACUUCCUUGGGGUCCGACUUUUCUGAAAGUCGGUCCCUUUCGAAGUUGUUCCCCAUUGGACUGUGGUCCGACUUUGUGAGGUUUGACGCCUUGUCAUCGACUUUUCAAAGUUGGAUCCAUUUUUACUGGAAUCGACUUUCUGAGAUCCUUGUCUCCCGAAGGUCGACCUUUCUGGGAUCGACUUCUGAGGUCGACUUCCCUGGGAUCGACUUCCCUUAUGUUGCUAGUUCGAUUCCAAGUUCGAUUCCCUGAAGUCCGGAUCGACUUUUCUUGGGAUCGACUUUUGUUGCUAUGUUCUUCGUGCAGGUUCAUAAUGUCUUCUGACAAGAACUCACAGCAAGAUCUUCCUCUUGAUGAGGAUCGGGUUAUCGUUGCCAGCCCUCAGACCUCUCAGGCUGAUGCUGCCAAGACAGUGUCUGUUACCAUGGAUGUUCCUACUGAACCAGAGUCUGUUCGGAUUACUCCUGUCGUAACGGAGCCUAGAGCUUCGCCUUCCUCCUUGCCUAUUGGAAGUAAGAGAAAAACUCUUUCCCGUCGUACGCGCAAGCCCGUACCUAGUAAGUUACUCAUUUAUUGUUUAUUUCGUAACUUACUCUUUAUUUGUUUCUUUUUUGUUUGUAGGUGCUCCCCCUCCUUCCGCACGUUCCAGUUCGGGGUCUUCUACAUCUAGUUCUGGAAGCUCGGGUUCUUCCUACUGCUCCUCUUCUUCAGAGCAAGAUGUAGAAAUUGGAGGAACCCCUCCCUCCGUUGUUAGGACUCCUCCUCCUACCAUUAUUAUGGCUUCCAUUCCUGAGGAGACUCCUACUUCGGAGAAUUUAUCCGUGACUACGGACAGUUCUGUUCAACUUCCUCCCGAAGUUCGUAGUCAAAACAUUCAUAUUUUGGAAAGUUCUCCUUUGGGUUACCCCUCUGAGACGAGGGACAAAUACCCCUUUCCUUCUCCCCUUGAGGAGAAGAGCGCCUCAUCCUUCUAUCGGGAAAUGGAUGGUUCAUGGCGUCAAUGGUCCGUUCUUGUUCGCAACGGUUUCCACGUCGUCCCUAUCCUUGACCGGGGCGAAUAUGGAACUGGAUAUGGUUCCUUCUGUGCAGUCUCUCUGACUGAUAUUCCGGGCUACUCCCUUUCCUCUAACGCGGGUAGCUGCUCUAACACCCUUUCUUUGGAUGCCGCCCAAAGAAUUUUGAGGGGGUUAGAGCUUAGAGAGAGAGUGUACUGGGCGUACCCCUCUGAGAACACUGGCGACGUGCCCCCUAUUUUAUGCUGGCACUCCAUCGUGUAUAUUUCACUAACUUUCCGAUCCUCCCGAUCCCUUCCUUGGUUAGUGAAAUUCUUUUGUAUUCUGGGUUGUGCAUCUCUCAAAUGGGUGCUGCCUUCUUUUUCUACGUCAGGGGGUUUAUAAAUAUUCUCCGGGAUGCUGGCAUAGUCCCUACUGCUCGGCUGUUCUUCCACUUCUUCACAUUCCAAAAUCCGAAGAAGGGCAGCCCUUUUAUUGCAUGUGCCAGCCGUGCUAUAUCUAUCACUCACUCUGCCCUCUUGAAAGAUCCUCCGACCAGGCGGAACAAGAGUGAGUUCAUUUUUGUGGAUUGCAGGUUAUGCCCUGGUAGCAGACUUCUCCCUGCAUCCACUAGUGGUCGCAAGCCCAUUCCUCGUCCUGAUCUGACUGAGGAUGAGGGAGCUUCCGAGCAAAACCUGGCCUAUUUGCAUCCUAUCGCUGUGCCUGUCGGUCACGUGAUUGAAGAUACUUUUAACCGACAAGGUCUUCCUUUGCCUGUUUUUCCUUUUAUGUUUUCUAUACAUAUGUAUUUUCUAAUUCUGUUUUUAUUCCUUGCAGAUUUUUAUAUGCAAAACCCCGGAGGUGUCCCUGAAC